Oncorhynchus kisutch (coho salmon) is the source of this 355-nucleotide long non-coding RNA. RefSeq lists it as uncharacterized. Lineage: Eukaryota; Metazoa; Chordata; Actinopteri; Salmoniformes; Salmonidae. The record is from RefSeq and is a predicted model, not a curated record. The transcript has 3 exons.
UAUAAGGGCAAGUGUUUUUUUCACCUCGCACAAUCAACAGUGAGACGUUCACAUGCAAAACAUGGCUCUUCCCGCUCCCACAUUUGGUGACAUGAUUGAGAUCAACAGAGGUCGAUACAAACACUGGGCCCUGUACAUUGGAAAUGAAAAGCUCAUCCAUUUGGUAGUUCAAGGCAGAUGACUUCCUGAAUAAUUUCAUAGAAGGUUGCUGCCUGUUUGUUGGACUGGCUGCUGGUGCUGCUUCUACAGAUGCUGCAGCAAGCACACUUAGUAAAUAGGUUUCUUGGGAGUCCAUUGAGAAUGUCAUUGACGUAACACUUUGUUCAUAGCCUAAUGAAUAAAAUACAGAGACCAA